GCCAUUUUGUUUAGCGUGGCUCGCUCCCCAGGCCCAUUCCCUCUAGCCCAGGAGCUUGUACAAGACCGUAGUCCUGGUUCUUUAUGCUGCUGAGUGAGUAUUGACCCCACCCACACACUAGGAUGGGGAAACCAACUAAGCAGAGGAGAAAGGGCCAAGUGGCUGCCAGGGCCAAGGGCCCCAGUGGGGCAGGGACAGCGUUGGUCAAGAACAACCCUUUUGAAGUGAAGGUGAACAAGCAGAAGUUUAAUAUCUUGGGCAGGAGAACCAAACACGACGUGGGGCUGCCGGGCGUCUCGCGGUCCAAGGCUGUCAAGAAGCGUACACAAACUUUGCUGAAAGAAUACAAAGAACGGGAAAAGUCCAAUGUAUUUAAAGAUAAGCGUUUUGGUGAAUAUAAUACCAAAAUAAGCCCAGAGGAGAAGAUGAUGAAGAGGUUCGCUUUGGAACGACAGCAAAAUCAUGAAAAGAAAAGUAUCUAUAAUCUCAAUGAAGAUGACGAAUUGACCCAUUAUGGCCAAUCUUUAGCAGAUAUUGAAAAACUUAAUGAUGUUAUUGAUAGCGACAGUGAUACUGAAGAAAGAGGAAUAUUGUCAGCUGAGCUAACUGCUGCUCACUUUGGAGGGAGUGGAGGUCUCCUUCGUAGGAAAGCACUCACUGGGGAACAAGAUGAAGAGGAGGAAAAACCUAAAUCUCGCAAGGAGCUCAUUGAAGAGCUGAUUGCCAAAUCCAAACAAGAGAAGAGAGAGAGACAAACUCAGAGAGAGAAUGCCUUGGAACUCACAGAAAAACUUGACACUGACUGGAAAGAAAUCCAAACCCUUCUCUCCCACAAAACCCCCAAGUCAGAGAGGAAAGAUAAAGAAGAGGAGAAACCCAAGCCUGAUGAGUAUGAUAUGAUUGUUCGAGAACUUGGGUUUGAGAUGAAGGCACAACCCUCUGACAGGAUGAAGACUGAGGAAGAGUUGGCGAAAGAGGAGCAAGAAAGACUACAGAAAUUAGAGGCUGACAGACUGCGUCGAAUGCAUGGAAAAGAUGAACAGGAGAACAAAAAGAAACCCAAGCAUAUGUCAGCUGAUGAUUUAGCAGAUGGCUUCAUCCUGGAUAAAGAUGACAGACGUUUACUUUCUUAUAAGGGUGGAAAACUCAAUGUUGGAAAUGAAGAGGAAGAAGGUGGGAAUGAAGAAGAGGAGAGAGAGAGUGAAGAAGAAAGUGAGGGAGAGCCUGGUGGAGAAGAUGAGGAAGAAGCAAUUGUUGAGGAAGAUGAUGCUACAGAUAGUCCCUCUGACCUGGAAUCUGACAUGGGGAGUGAGGAAGAGGUCACUGCAAAUGAAGAACAGAAGGAGAAACACAAAGGAAAUGAAAAGAAACUGCAAAGUGAGGAAGAACAAAAUGCUAAAAUAGAAGCUGCCAGAUCUGAGCUUCCAUACACAUUUACUGUUCCAGAAUCCUAUGAGAAACUUAAAUCUUUACUGUUUGGAAGAAUAAUAGAAGAACAGCUAGUUAUCCUAGAGAGGAUUCAGAAGUGCAAUCAUCCAAGCCUUGCAGUGGGAAACAAAGCAAAGUUAGAAAAACUGUUCGGCUUCCUUCUGGAGUACAUUGGGGAAUUAGCAACUGUGGAGCCACCAGAGCUCAGAACAAUUGACAAAUUGGUCCUGCCGUUGUUCAGUCUUUGCCAGAUGUUUCCUGAAGCUGCAAGUAACAGCGUUAAGUUUGUCCUCCAAGAUGCUGCACAUGACAUGGAAGAAAUGAUUGAAGUCAAAGGCCGUGCAACAUUUCCAGGGCUAGACAUGCUCAUUUAUUUGAAAAUUACUGCAAUACUGUUUCCUACCUCUGACUUCUGGCACCCAGUAGUAACACCUGCAUUGGUAUAUAUGAGUCAGUUACUUACUAAGUGCCAAGUCAUGACACUGCAAGAUGUUGUUAAAGGAUUGUUUGUGUGCUGUUUGUUCCUGGAAUAUGUAUCACUGUCUCAAAGAUUCAUACCAGAACUUAUCAAUUUCCUCGUUGGAAUACUUCACUUAUCUAUAUCUCAAAAACGACCACAGGGCUAUAUUCUAGUGCAUCCUUUCAGACCAGCAGGAAAAAAUUCAGACUUACUCUUGGUCUGUGAUAAGAAGGAUAUGGAGACUUGGAAAAAGCAAAAUCUGCCACUCAGUAUUGUGACUAGAUUAAAGGAAAGCAGCCAAACAGAAAUGAAUCAUUUCAGGUUAUCAUGUCUAGCCGUGUGUUUGGAUCUCAUUAAGAAAUGUGCAGCUUUGUAUGAAUCUUUGUCAUCCUUCCAUGAAAUAAUGCAACCCAUCAGAGUACUUCUUACAGAACAUAUACCAGUGAAUGAAUACCCUAAACAACUGCAGGAGUUGCAUCAAAAUGCUCUGAAAGAGCUAGAGGACAAAGGAAAACAGUAUACCCCGUUGGUGUGUGAGAAAAAGAAGCCUGUGCCAUUGAAACUGUACAUGCCCAAAAUUGUGAAAGUCCUGGAGUUUGGGAGGAAACAGGGAGGCAGCAAGGAGGAGCAGGAAAGAAAGAGGCUGAUUCACAAACACAAACGUGAAUUUAAAGGAGCUGUUCGGGAGAUCCGGAAAGAUAACCAGUUCCUGGCUAGAAUGCAGCUUUCAGAAAUGAUGGAAAGGGAUUCUGAUAGAAAAAGAAAAGUGAAAAAUCUUUUCAAUAGCCUUGCUACACAGGAAGGUGAAUGGAAGGCAAUGAAGCGGAAGAAGUUUAAAAAUUAGACAUUGACGUUCUACAACAGGAAACCCUGGGACAUUAUAUUUUUACUUUCAGUGACAAAUGUUUAGUUAGCCAUUCCAAGAACCAACGAGGAUGGCUGCAGUCUUCAGAGACAUUUUAAGCGGUUGAUGUACAGGUUUGUGUUUCCACCAGAUGCAUCAUGGAAAUUCUCCUUUUUUUAUAUCCUCCUGAUCUUACAAAAUGUCUUGUUUUUAAUAAGAUGGCAAAAAAUUAAAAAUGAACAAUAUUUUCAUAUUAACUUGCUAUUCUGUUAUUACUAGGCUUUCUUGUUACAGGGUGCACCACUCACUGCUGGUCUGGCACUUCCUCCUGGUCACUCUUGAGGAUUAGCUCUUGAGAUCAACAUCCCCACACUCGCAUCUGCAGCUCCUCUGUCAUCCCAGGAACCUCUUUGUGACUCAGCCCUCUGGUCGGGUCAUUCAGUGUUCCUCCCUUUCGGGGUAGCGCAGUCCCUUCCACUGCCUUGGUGCCACUCCUUCAGUGGCUGGUAGGAGAACCCAGACCUGCCCUCUACUCCAGGUUCCGGUCCAGAGACCCUCACCUCAGUAGUUCUGGACUUUCCUCUCUUAGCCCUCACUGCUCCUUCCCUGGAUGGAGAAUUUUAAUUAUUUUUGGUGCAGAAUUUUUAAUUUUUGGGCACAGAAUUCCCCAAGGAAUAAUUAAUCUAUACUGAAGAAGGGAUGAGAAGGAUGGGGUGGAAAUGGAUUGUGCCAAUGGCAUGGAAAGGGUUGUGAAGCUGGAGUAGAAGGGGAAAUAGAGGAAGUGCAUAUGUAAAUAGAUUGGGAGAAAGGGCAUAAUUUACUGGAGCUGGGGAAAGAAUAUGGAAAGAUUAUGGGGCUUGUGUGAAGAACAGUCAAGCAGACCUUUUCCUCUGAGACAAUACUGGGUAAAAUUAACUUAUGUGCUUUUUAAAAUUGUGCCUGCUGUCAGUAUUUAAGACAAAUAUAAUUCUUAUAUUGUAAACUUGUCACUAAUCAUAGCACAACAUAUAUAUGGCACUUUACAUGUACAGAGCACUGUACAGACAUUAAACAAUCCUCAGGACACUCUGUGAUAGAGGCUAGUAAAUAUCCUCAUUUUACAGAUGAGGAAACAGUGUAGAAAUGACUUGUCCAGUGCCACUCACCAAGCAAGUAGCACAGUAGGAAUUAAAAUUCAUGUCCUCUUUAUUACCAUUCCAGGGCAGGCUAUACAUACAUUGUAUAUUCUCACAUUAGGGUUGACUAUACACAUACUUGAAAAGCAGCUUGUAAUGUCAGCAUAUUCAUAUAACUUCCUUAGGUUGUCCUCUUUCACAGAUCCUGCAUGCCAGAUUCAGGAGGUUUCAAACUGUUGCUUGUUACACUGAUAUUAUAAUGCAUGUACAACACUAUACUGACAAUAUACUGUAUUAUAUUUGCUGUCUGUCCUUCAGGCUCUUGAGAUGGAGUUUGUUUGGUUACUUUGGUCAUUAAAUGAUUAUAAAGCAGUGUUUCCUGAAAAA
This is an RNA transcript of Terrapene triunguis (Three-toed box turtle), 4234 nucleotides long. It is a transcript of the gene named NOP14 nucleolar protein, with no coding region annotated. The record is from RefSeq and is a predicted model, not a curated record. Lineage: Eukaryota; Metazoa; Chordata; Testudines; Emydidae. The transcript has 19 exons.